Molecule: ribosomal RNA, 2930 nt
Filed under: Bacillus velezensis
Lineage: Bacteria; Bacillati; Bacillota; Bacilli; Caryophanales; Bacillaceae
Description: 23S ribosomal RNA
Rfam family: Bacterial large subunit ribosomal RNA
Source: RNAcentral
GGUUAAGUUAGAAAGGGCGCACGGUGGAUGCCUUGGCACUAGGAGCCGAUGAAGGACGGGACGAACACCGAUAUGCUUCGGGGAGCUGUAAGCAAGCUUUGAUCCGGAGAUUUCCGAAUGGGGAAACCCACCACUCGUAAUGGAGUGGUAUCCAUAUCUGAAUACAUAGGAUAUGAGAAGGCAGACCCGGGGAACUGAAACAUCUAAGUACCCGGAGGAAGAGAAAGCAAAUGCGAUUCCCUGAGUAGCGGCGAGCGAAACGGGAUCAGCCCAAACCAAGAGGCUUGCCUCUUGGGGUUGUAGGACACUCUGUACGGAGUUACAAAGGAACGAGGUAGAUGAAGAGGUCUGGAAAGGCCCGCCAUAGGAGGUAACAGCCCUGUAGUCAAAACUUCGUUCUCUCCUGAGUGGAUCCUGAGUACGGCGGAACACGUGAAAUUCCGUCGGAAUCCGGGAGGACCAUCUCCCAAGGCUAAAUACUCCCUAGUGACCGAUAGUGAACCAGUACCGUGAGGGAAAGGUGAAAAGCACCCCGGAAGGGGAGUGAAAGAGAUCCUGAAACCGUGUGCCUACAAGUAGUCAGAGCCCGUUAACGGGUGAUGGCGUGCCUUUUGUAGAAUGAACCGGCGAGUUACGAUCCCGUGCAAGGUUAAGCAGAAGAUGCGGAGCCGCAGCGAAAGCGAGUCUGAAUAGGGCGAAUUGAGUACGUGGUCGUAGACCCGAAACCAGGUGAUCUACCCAUGUCCAGGGUGAAGUUCAGGUAACACUGAAUGGAGGCCCGAACCCACGCACGUUGAAAAGUGCGGGGAUGAGGUGUGGGUAGGGGUGAAAUGCCAAUCGAACCUGGAGAUAGCUGGUUCUCUCCGAAAUAGCUUUAGGGCUAGCCUCAAGGUAAGAGUCUCGGAGGUAGAGCACUGAUUGGACUAGGGGCCCCUACCGGGUUACCGAAUUCAGUCAAACUCCGAAUGCCGAUGACUUAUCCUUGGGAGUCAGACUGCGAGUGAUAAGAUCCGUAGUCGAAAGGGAAACAGCCCAGACCGCCAGCUAAGGUCCCAAAGUAUACGUUAAGUGGAAAAGGAUGUGGAGUUGCUUAGACAACCAGGAUGUUGGCUUAGAAGCAGCCACCAUUUAAAGAGUGCGUAAUAGCUCACUGGUCGAGUGACUCUGCGCCGAAAAUGUACCGGGGCUAAACGUAUCACCGAAGCUGCGGACUGUUCUUCGAACAGUGGUAGGAGAGCGUUCUAAGGGCUGUGAAGCAAGACCGGAAGGACUUGUGGAGCGCUUAGAAGUGAGAAUGCCGGUAUGAGUAGCGAAAGAGGGGUGAGAAUCCCCUCCACCGAAUGCCUAAGGUUUCCUGAGGAAGGCUCGUCCGCUCAGGGUUAGUCGGGACCUAAGCCGAGGCCGAAAGGCGUAGGCGAUGGAUAACAGGUUGAUAUUCCUGUACCACCUCCUCACCAUUUGAGCAAUGGGGGGACGCAGGAGGAUAGGGUAAGCGCGGUAUUGGAUAUCCGCGUCCAAGCAGUUAGGCUGGGAAAUAGGCAAAUCCGUUUCCCGUGAAGGCUGAGCUGUGAUGGCGAGCGAAUUAUAGUAGCGAAGUUCCUGAUUCCACACUGCCAAGAAAAGCCUCUAGCGAGGUGAGAGGUGCCCGUACCGCAAACCGACACAGGUAGGCGAGGAGAGAAUCCUAAGGUGAUCGAGAGAACUCUCGUUAAGGAACUCGGCAAAAUGACCCCGUAACUUCGGGAGAAGGGGUGCUCUGUUAGGGUGCAAGCCCGAGAGAGCCGCAGUGAAUAGGCCCAGGCGACUGUUUAGCAAAAACACAGGUCUCUGCGAAGCCGUAAGGCGAAGUAUAGGGGCUGACGCCUGCCCGGUGCUGGAAGGUUAAGAGGAGUGCUUAGCGUAAGCGAAGGUGCGAAUUGAAGCCCCAGUAAACGGCGGCCGUAACUAUAACGGUCCUAAGGUAGCGAAAUUCCUUGUCGGGUAAGUUCCGACCCGCACGAAAGGCGCAACGAUCUGGGCACUGUCUCAACGAGAGACUCGGUGAAAUUAUAGUACCUGUGAAGAUGCAGGUUACCCGCGACAGGACGGAAAGACCCCGUGGAGCUUUACUGCAGCCUGAUAUUGAAUGUUGGUACAGCUUGUACAGGAUAGGUAGGAGCCUUGGAAACCGGAGCGCCAGCUUCGGUGGAGGCAUCGGUGGGAUACUACCCUGGCUGUAUUGACCUUCUAACCCGCCGCCCUUAUCGGGCGGGGAGACAGUGUCAGGUGGGCAGUUUGACUGGGGCGGUCGCCUCCUAAAAGGUAACGGAGGCGCCCAAAGGUUCCCUCAGAAUGGUUGGAAAUCAUUCGCAGAGUGUAAAGGCACAAGGGAGCUUGACUGCGAGACCUACAAGUCGAGCAGGGACGAAAGUCGGGCUUAGUGAUCCGGUGGUUCCGCAUGGAAGGGCCAUCGCUCAACGGAUAAAAGCUACCCCGGGGAUAACAGGCUUAUCUCCCCCAAGAGUCCACAUCGACGGGGAGGUUUGGCACCUCGAUGUCGGCUCAUCGCAUCCUGGGGCUGUAGUCGGUCCCAAGGGUUGGGCUGUUCGCCCAUUAAAGCGGUACGCGAGCUGGGUUCAGAACGUCGUGAGACAGUUCGGUCCCUAUCCGUCGCGGGCGCAGGAAAUUUGAGAGGAGCUGUCCUUAGUACGAGAGGACCGGGAUGGACGCACCGCUGGUGUACCAGUUGUUCUGCCAAGGGCAUCGCUGGGUAGCUAUGUGCGGACGGGAUAAGUGCUGAAAGCAUCUAAGCAUGAAGCCCCCCUCAAGAUGAGAUUUCCCAUUCCGCAAGGAAGUAAGAUCCCUGAAAGAUGAUCAGGUUGAUAGGUCUGAGGUGGAAGUGUGGCGACACAUGGAGCUGACAGAUACUAAUCGAUCGAGGACUUAACCAA